Theobroma umbraticum is the source of this 293-nucleotide long non-coding RNA. RefSeq lists it as uncharacterized. The record is from RefSeq and is a predicted model, not a curated record. Lineage: Eukaryota; Viridiplantae; Streptophyta; Magnoliopsida; Malvales; Malvaceae.
AGCAAAGGUUGCCAUAGAUGUGAGGAAGUUGUGAAUCAUAUUUGGAAAUUCAAGUUUGAACUGAGAGAUAGUGAUCGACCUAGUGUGCAAUCAUCGAUGCUUAUGAUCCACUACGGAUAGAUAAAGGCAUUUCAUAGCACUUUAUUCCGAGUCGUUCCGCUGCUAGAGGUCGAGUCAUCCAUAACUUGAAGUAUGUGUAAAUAGUGUCAAUAUAAAUAUGCAGUUAGAUACUACAAACUCUAAUGUAUUCUUACGGUUUUGGUGAAUAAAUGAUAAGUUGGUUUAUUAUUAUU